This 85-nucleotide transfer RNA is filed under the name Crassvirales sp. Its description in RNAcentral is "tRNA-OTHER". It matches the Rfam family "tRNA". Rfam says of the family: Transfer RNA (tRNA) molecules are approximately 80 nucleotides in length. Their secondary structure includes four short double-helical elements and three loops (D, anti-codon, and T loops). Lineage: Duplodnaviria; Heunggongvirae; Uroviricota; Caudoviricetes; Crassvirales. The record is from RNAcentral.
GCGGCAUUAGCUCAGGUGGUUAGAGCACUCGGUAGGACACGACGGAUACCACGAGUGGUCGUUGGUUCAACUCCAACAUGCCGUA